GACGAACGCUGGCGGCGUGCUUAACACAUGCAAGUCGAACGGUGAAGCGAGUGCUUGCACUCGUGGAUCAGUGGCGAACGGGUGAGUAACACGUGAGUAACCUGCCCAUCACUCUGGGAUAAGCACUGGAAACGGUGUCUAAUACUGGAUACGACCAACCCUUGCAUGGGGUGUUGGUGGAAAGAUUUAUCGGUGAUGGAUGGACUCGCGGCCUAUCAGCUUGUUGGCGGGGUGAUGGCCCACCAAGGCGACGACGGGUAGCCGGCCUGAGAGGGUGACCGGCCACACUGGGACUGAGACACGGCCCAGACUCCUACGGGAGGCAGCAGUGGGGAAUAUUGCACAAUGGGCGAAAGCCUGAUGCAGCGACGCCGCGUGAGGGAUGACGGCCUUCGGGUUGUAAACCUCUUUCAGCAGGGAAGAAGCGAAAGUGACGGUACCUGCAGAAGAAGCACCGGCUAACUACGUG
This 469-nucleotide ribosomal RNA is filed under the name uncultured bacterium. RNAcentral's name for it is "partial 16S ribosomal RNA". It matches the Rfam family "Bacterial small subunit ribosomal RNA", at positions 28 to 507 of the family's 1533-position model. The record is from RNAcentral.